This 465-nucleotide ribosomal RNA is filed under the name uncultured bacterium. RNAcentral's name for it is "partial 16S ribosomal RNA". It matches the Rfam family "Bacterial small subunit ribosomal RNA", at positions 28 to 507 of the family's 1533-position model. The record is from RNAcentral.
GACGAACGCUGGCGGCGUGCUUAACACAUGCAAGUCGUACGGUAAGGCCCUUUCGGGGGUACACGAGUGGCGAACGGGUGAGUAACACGUGAGUAACCUGCCCACAACUUUGGGAUAACGCUAGGAAACUGGUGCUAAUACUGGAUAUGUGCUCCUGCUGCAUGGUGGGGGUUGGAAAGCUCCGGCGGUUGUGGAUGGACUCGCGGCCUAUCAGCUUGUUGGUGGGGUAGUGGCCUACCAAGGCGGCGACGGGUAGCAGGCCUGAGAGGGUGACCGGCCACAGUGGGACUGAGAUACGGCCCAGACUCCGACGGGAGGCAGCAGGGGGGAAGAUUGCACAAUGGGCGCAAGCCGGAUGCAGCAACGCCGCGUGCGGGAGGACGGCCUUCGGGUUGUAAACCGCUUUCAGCAGGGACGAAGCUUUUUGUGACGGUACCUGCAGAAGAAGCACCGGCUAACUACGUG